This is a long non-coding RNA of Ctenopharyngodon idella (grass carp), 1054 nucleotides long. RefSeq lists it as uncharacterized. The transcript is spliced from 5 exons. The record is from RefSeq and is a predicted model, not a curated record. NCBI's taxonomy places the organism in Eukaryota, Metazoa, Chordata, Actinopteri, Cypriniformes, Xenocyprididae.
UAACGUAGCCUAAAGUAAACUAGACGUCUAAGAGCUGAAUCAGUAACGCAAGUCAUUUUCAGUCUGAUGGUGGUGAAACACGACUCGUCUGGUAGAAACUGUGCAGUUUAUCAUCCGCUCCUCUAGGGGCGCAAGCGGCUUCACGUUCAUAACAACUUCGGAUCCUUGUCAACAACACCUGAUGUCAACUUGACAGUCGCCGCACCACGUUCUGAUCGUUUUACAGUCAUAAAAGUGCAGAUCCUGCAGAUGACAGCUCAGUGACAGACUCAUAAAGUCACUCAACGGCACAUAUUCCAGCCCAUCAGAAAAAUCAACUGACACACAUUGUGAUAAUGAGGGAGCAUCGACAGCGUCACGAGACUCACCUAAUAAGGCAUGUGUUUGGACUGAUAUACUGAUAUGCUCACGCACAGGUGGCAGAAGCAGGUUUCAGCUUCAGUCUGACACUUCGGCUGCUUGACAACAUGACGCUUGAUGAUCCUGCAGAUGAGAUGACAGCUCUUAAUGUCACUUUAACAGCAAAUAUUCCAGCUUAACUGCAAAUAAAAUCGACACACAGAUGGAUACAAUGCGGGAAUCGAGUGUCACGUGACUCACCUAUUGUUUCGUCAGCAGUGGGCGGAACUUACAAGCAGUAAUCCAAUUGGCUGAAAAUGUGAUUAAUAUCUGACAGCCUGUUACCAAUUUGCAAUCCACCUGAGGACCAGCGUGAGCACAAGGAGAAGUCUUCUUUGAAAAUUAGGAUCUCUGGGUCAGAACUGCUGGAGGUCAUGAGGAGGUGGCAGGAGAAGCAGCCACAGCAGUCUCUUGAACUGCUGAACCCUUAUUCCACUGACCUUUUUUCUGGAGUCAAUUGGAGCGCACACCGUUUGCUGCCAUAAUGUGCCUUCGACAAGAACUCUUGGACGUGUCUGAUAACGGUACCAGCUCAUACCCUUUCUCUGGGAUAAAGGUUAUGACAGGCCAUUUCUGUUUGAAUGCAUGUUUGAAAAUGGAGUUAAUUACAAACUGGAGUGAUCAGUUUGUGUGCACAAUAAAAGGCUACAUGUGA